This 506-nucleotide ribosomal RNA is filed under the name uncultured bacterium. RNAcentral's name for it is "partial 16S ribosomal RNA". It matches the Rfam family "Bacterial small subunit ribosomal RNA", at positions 28 to 523 of the family's 1533-position model. The record is from RNAcentral.
GAUGAACGCUAGCUACAGGCUUAACACAUGCAAGUCGAGGGGUAACGAGAGGAAAGCUUGCUUUCCUUGUCGACGACCGGCGCACGGGUGAGUAACGCGUAUCCAACCUGCCCCCAACUAGGGAAUAACCUUGCGAAAGUAAGACUAAUACCCUAUAAUUUCCUCAGAUGUCAUCUGACGAGGAAUAAAGAUUUAUCGGUUGUGUAUGGGGAUGCGCCUGAUUAGCUUGUUGGCGGGGUAACGGCCCACCAAGGCAACGAUCAGUAGGGGUUCUGAGAGGAAGGUCCCCCACAGUGGAACUGAGACACGGUCCAAGCUCCUACGGGAGGCAGCAGUGAGGAAUAUUGGUCAAUGGGCGGAAGCCUGAACCAGCCAAGUAGCGUGCAGGAUGACGGCCCUAUGGGUUGUAAACUGCUUUUAUACAGGAAUAAAGUUAGCCACGUGUGGUUAUUUGUAGGUACUGUAUGAAUAAGGACCGGCUAAUUCCGUGCCAGCAGCCGCGGUAA